Molecule: transfer RNA, 78 nt
Filed under: Bacillota bacterium
Lineage: Bacteria; Bacillati; Bacillota
Description: tRNA-Arg
Rfam family: tRNA
About the family: Transfer RNA (tRNA) molecules are approximately 80 nucleotides in length. Their secondary structure includes four short double-helical elements and three loops (D, anti-codon, and T loops). Further hydrogen bonds mediate the characteristic L-shaped molecular structure. tRNAs have two regions of fundamental functional importance: the anti-codon, which is responsible for specific mRNA codon recognition, and the 3' end, to which the tRNAs corresponding amino acid is attached (by aminoacyl-tRNA synthetases). tRNAs cope with the degeneracy of the genetic code in two manners: having more than one tRNA (with a specific anti-codon) for a particular amino acid; and 'wobble' base-pairing, i.e. permitting non-standard base-pairing at the 3rd anti-codon position.
Source: RNAcentral
GCGCCCGUAGCUCAGCCCGGACAGAGCCGCAGACUUCGGAUCUGAGGGUCGCAGGUUCAAAUCCUGCCGGGCGCGCCA